CCUAAACAUGUCUUGCGCAUACAAAUAUACUAAUUCAUAUCUGUAAAAAACCCACAUAGCAAACAAUACCCAGACCCCAAAAUUGGCUCUUUUGACAGGAGAACAAGUCUUGAUAAAGAUAUAGACUUAGAUAAAGUUGAAGUCUUUUAACUUACCUGAAAAAGAAUGAGAGAUGGCCUCUAGAACUCAAUCUUGAGCUCUUCUUUUUCAUCAGAGAGGUAAUGAAGAAUGUAAGGAGUAACGCGAACAACCGCUACCCACACCCCAAACAUGGCUACGUGUGCCUUCAACUGCUUCAAGGCUGCCGCCUUGUCUGGUUUGCGCAUAAACAUGCCUGGGAACAUCGUUGCUUCUCUUUGAUUUUUGUGUGCGCUGUAGAUUGGAGUCUGCGUCAAUGGAGAGGGAGGCUAAAACCCUAGAUAUUGUUGGGGUUUUAGUGCUACAAAGAGGAAGAAAUGUGGUACCUCAGGUGUUCAUGGACUUGGGUUUAGUUUUUUAAACCUAGGGUCGGAUUGGACUGACCCCAUCUAUUGUUCGAAAAUUAAAAAGUUAUAAAAAAUAAUUUUAUAUUAAAUUUAAAAUAUUUUUAUUAAAUUUUAAAUUGGGAAAUAAAGCUAUUUGUGUCCACAGUCAGCAAAGCGCGCUGACGUGAACGUAAUUUGCUGACACAUCUCCUGACUUCGCGCUGACGUGGACGUGAUUUAAGAAAAAAUAGCUCAUUUCGGUAAAUAAUAAAAUACCGGGCCCAUUUCGAUAAAUUAAAAAAAAUGACUUUUUUUGAUAUUUUACCCCUAAGUUUUGUAGUCGGAAAUUGGAUUUGAAUAUAUUUUUGACAUAUUCUUAAAUUUUCCUAUCAAAGUUCUUGUAUGAGAACUUUAGAAAUGUGAAACAAUAUUUAAAUUUUUUUUUAUCUUUUUAGUUAAAAAUUGAUUAAAAAAAUAACAAUGGUUAACUUUUUGAGAUAAAUUGGAUAACCAAGCCACUUAUAAUAAUAAUAAUAAUAAAGCUCUAAUUAACAAUUUAAGAAAAAUAGAUAAAACAUUUUAUGAUUUAAACCUUCAUAUCCUAAAAUAAUGUAUUCCUGCUUGUGAAUAUGGUCCAUGUAUAAUAUUAAUACUUUUUAUGCUUAUUCAAAUCUAAUUUCAUUUAAAAUAUAAACCUCAAAUUUUAUCUAAAAAAUCCAUUUAUAUUUCUAUAAAUAACUAAUUCAAACUCAUUUUAAGCUCACCCAUAUUUAUAAAAAUUUGCAUCAUAGCGUUAUAUAUUUUAUUUUAUAUGAAUUACAUAAUAUAUAUUAUAAAGUAGAAAACGAAAUAUGCCGAGCUUAAGCUUUGAGUGUUGGAGCUUAAGAUGAGCUCCUAUUUUAAACGGACUUAAUUUUUUUUGUCCAAGUUCAUUUUUCUAGUCUCAUAUGACUGUCCAAAGCUCUCAUAUUUCAAGCUAGUCUAUGGGCUUAGACUCUAGCAUAGGCAUAAUGGUAAGACCAUUUUUGGAGGCUCUUUUUAAGUACAUGCAACUUUUUAAGUAUCUGAAAAUAAACUGUAAUGGUAAGACACAACACUCUAGGGACAGAAGUCAAGUUUGAGUUCUCUCCUUAGAAAUGAGAUUGUUAGUAGAGGCAACCACAAAUCCCAAAAAGUUUAGUGUUGUAGAUCAUAAAAUACACAUGAAGAAUACUUUCAUUCCAACAAAAAGAUAGCCAUAUAUUCAGAAAAGUGUUGAUCUUAGGCUGUUAGACCUCAGCAUGUGAAAAUCUGGACAUCACUGCAAUAUCCAGUGCUAUCACUCUCAAAAUCCAAAUACCAACAGAACCAGUAAAAUGCAUAUUUAACUAGAUAUGACUAGUUUCAUUUCAAUGAAAAGACUAACAAGCAUGACCAAAGCAAGUACAUAAACAACCUAAUGUGAUUACACAUCAGCUUCAUACUAAAGCGAAAAAGGAACCUGGAACUUGCAAAUUCUUUUCAUUCUCCAGUUUUCUCCUUGUCAAUCCACUGCACCAUGUGAGGAGGAAAAAUCAGCAACAAACAAACAAUACAAAACAAAAUUGCUAGUAAAGUGAAUGCAGGACACGCACUAAGGGCUAAAAUAACGACUUUAACAAUGAUUCAUUGUCUAAAAGAUGACUCAAUCGUGGCUACUAAAUAUCGACUGAACUACAGGUGGAGUGGUAAAAGACGUGUGUUUAAGUCUUCAUUUGACAUCAGUCCUAGAUUCAAUCCCUAGACAACCCUUACCCUUAUGUUUAUACAAAAGUGUGCUAUUGAAUGAUUCACAUAGUUACUGAAUGGAGCAAAAUGUCUUCCCAACCACUAAAUUCAAAUUAAAGGCAUCAAUUGACUGAUUAUCUUAAGCAAGGAUCACAGUAAAAAGAAAAAAACAGUAUUCUACUUUAAUUGCCACCAUAAAGUUGUCAUUAAUACUAACAUGACAUCAUAAACAAAGAAUAGCACAUUAGGUAAUUCCUAGAGGAAAAGGCAACAAGAGACAAAGCAACUAAUUUUGAUAAUGGGAUCAUUUAGAACAAAAGAAACCAAGAAAAAUCUAAAAACCAGUCAUACCAUUUGGCAAAGGGGAAGGCACUAAAGCACACUUAGGCAGAUGUAUAGGAAGAAUGGCUUUCAUAGCUAUUAUAACACAAUCUACUAGUAACAAGACACUAGUCGUAAAACUCAAGGAAAUCAACUAUCAGAGUCCAGCUUCCUAUGGACAAAGAAAAUGCCAUUAUUCUAUUAGUCCUUUUUUUUCCCCUUUCUUUCUUUCUUUCUUUCUUUCUUUAAGUCUUAAUUUCUAAUCCAUCACCCAGAAUUCCUUUCCAAUUACAUUGCCUUCUUGAGUAUAACUAUUUGGAGAACUUUCAAUUACAUCAAAUUAACCACAUCCAAAACCUCUUCUUCCAUUGCAUCACUCAGAUUAUCCCCCUAAACAUGUCUUGAACAUACAAAUACUUGCAAAAAUAAUUCAUAUAUGUAAAAACCCACAUAGCAAACAAUACCCAAUCCCCAAAAUUUGCCCUUUUCUUAAAUCACCUGAAAAGAAUGAGAGGUGGCCUCUAGAACUCAAUCUUGAGCUCUUCUUUUUCAUCAGAGAGGUAAUGCAGAAUGUAAGGAGUGACACGAACCACAGCUACCCACACUCCAAACAUAGCUACGUGGACCUUCAACUGCUUCAAGGCCGCCGCCUUAUCUGGUUUGCGCAUAAACAUGCCUGGGAACAUCGUUGCUUCUAUUUGAUUCUGU
Molecule: long non-coding RNA, 3239 nt
Filed under: Gossypium barbadense (sea-island cotton)
Lineage: Eukaryota; Viridiplantae; Streptophyta; Magnoliopsida; Malvales; Malvaceae
Description: long non-coding RNA (GBAR_LNC015857)
Source: RNAcentral